RNAcentral lists this ribosomal RNA (253 nucleotides) under uncultured bacterium. Its description in RNAcentral is "partial 16S ribosomal RNA". It matches the Rfam family "Bacterial small subunit ribosomal RNA", at positions 524 to 776 of the family's 1533-position model. The record is from RNAcentral.
UACGGAGGGUGCGAGCGUUAUCCGGAAUUACUGGGCUUAAAGGGUGCGUAGGCGGCUAAGUAAGUCAGGAGUGAAAGUUUGCGGCUCAACCGUAAAAUUGCUUUUGAUACUGCAUAGCUAGAAUUAGGAUGAGGUCAGCGGAAUGUGGCAUGUAGCGGUGAAAUGCAUAGAUAUGCCAUAGAACACCAAUUGCGAAGGCAGCUGGCUAGACCUGGAUUGACGCUGAGGCACGAAAGCGUGGGGAGCGAACAGG